RNAcentral lists this ribosomal RNA (494 nucleotides) under uncultured Lachnospiraceae bacterium. RNAcentral's name for it is "bacterial SSU rRNA". It matches the Rfam family "Bacterial small subunit ribosomal RNA", at positions 1 to 507 of the family's 1533-position model. Lineage: Bacteria; Bacillati; Bacillota; Clostridia; Lachnospirales; Lachnospiraceae. The record is from RNAcentral.
UUAGUACCUCGCGUCAGAGUCGAAGCUGCGGCGUGCUACACAUGCAAGUCGAACGGGGAUAUAUUGGAAUGAGGAUUCGUCUGAAGGAAAAUAGUAUCUUAGUGGCGGACGGUGAGUAACGCGUGGGCAACUACCGUAUACAGGGGAUAACACUUAGAAAUAGGUGCUAAUACCGCAUAAGCGCACAGCAGUGCAUACUGGAGUGUGAAAAGCCGAGACGGUAUACGAUGGGCCCGCGUCUGAUUAGCCAGUUGGCAGGGUAACGGCCUACCAAAGCGACGAUCAGUAGCCGGCCUGAGAGGGCGGACGGCCACAUUGGGACUGAGACACAGCCCAGACUCCUACGGGAGGCAGCAGUGGGGGAUAUUGCACAAUGGGGGGAACCCUGAUGCAGCGACGCCGCGUGAGUGAAGAAGUAAUUCGUUAUGUAAAGCUCUAUCAGCAGGGAAGAAUAAAUGACGGUACCUGAGUAAGAAGCCCCGGCUAACUACGUG